This 228-nucleotide long non-coding RNA is filed under the name Lathyrus oleraceus (garden pea). RNAcentral's name for it is "Pisum sativum (pea) long non-coding RNA (PSAT_LNC007264)". The record is from RNAcentral. Lineage: Eukaryota; Viridiplantae; Streptophyta; Magnoliopsida; Fabales; Fabaceae.
UUUUUAAUGCCCCAGUUGGCUGUUCUGCUGAUUCUCGAGAUGCAGCUGAGUGAUCUUCUUUUCUUGCUCAAGAAGUCGGGACAUCUCAUCAGGAAUCCUUUCAACAUCAUCUUCUUCCGCUUCGAAUACAAGGAACUCAAAAUUGGGAGAUGACGUCGGAUCAUUAUGUUCAAUGGGUUUAAGAAUCAACCUGCAUAAUGAUUUUGAUAUGAAAAGCUUUUUGGAAAU